Molecule: unclassified non-coding RNA, 2067 nt
Filed under: Drosophila ananassae
Lineage: Eukaryota; Metazoa; Arthropoda; Insecta; Diptera; Drosophilidae
Description: GF18944
Source: RNAcentral
GAAAAGUCGGACGCACUGCUGCGCGUCUCUGCGCGAGAAUAUUCUAAGACUUAAUUGAGCCCCAAAUAAUUAUUUUAACUCAAAAAAUAUUAAAAAAGGAGGCCACUAACGCAUAGAUACAGAAAAAGUAUUGAUUUUCGUCCAAGAUGGCGGACGACGAGCAAUUCAGUUUGUGCUGGAACAAUUUCAACACAAAUCUGUCGGCUGGGUUCCACGAGUCGCUAUGUCGCGGCGAUUUGGUGGACGUUUCCCUUGCGGCGGAGGGGCAGAUCGUGAAGGCCCACCGAUUGGUUCUAUCGGUGUGCUCGCCCUUCUUCCGCAAAAUGUUCACCCAAAUGCCCUCCAACACCCAUGCCAUCGUAUUUUUGAAUAACGUUAGCCAUUCGGCUCUGAAGGACCUGAUCCAGUUUAUGUAUUGCGGGGAGGUGAAUGUGAAGCAGGAUGCCCUACCCGCGUUUAUCAGCACCGCGGAAUCGCUGCAAAUCAAGGGGUUAACGGAUAAUGAUCCUGCGCCGCAGCCACCGCACGAGCCCAGCCCCCCGCCAGCCGCACCCCAUGUACAACAGCAGCAAGUGGCUGCUCAGCGCGUACAGCGCCAGCAGCCGCGUCCUGCCGCCCGCUACAAGAUUGAGACCGUGGACGAGGGAUUGGGCGACGAGAAGGGCACCACCCAGAUUGUCAUCCAGACCACGUCAGCACCACAAGCCACCAUUGUACAACAGCAACCGCAGCAGCAGCCGACCCAAAUCCAGACGCAGCAGCUGCAGACAGGAACCACGACAACGGCCACCCUGGUGACGACCAACAAACGCUCCGCCCAGCGCUCUAAUUUGGCCCAGAGCAGUAGCGCCGGUGUCAAGCGUACGAAAACGGCUAACGUAAUGGACCCACUGGAAUCGGAAACUGGAACAACGGCUACCACCACAACGCAGCAAAUAGUGCCGCAGCAAAUCACCGUUCAGACCACUGUUGUAUCCGCGGCGGAAAAGCUACCUCAGUCGCAGGUACGCCAGCAGCAGCAACAACAGGAGGAAGCUGAAUACAUUGAUCUCCCCAUGGAAAUAAACACGAAAUCUGAACCGGACUACACUGAGGACCACGGUGAUGCUGCAGGCGAUGCGGAAGGCCCUUACGUUGAAGACGACGCCUACGGCGAUAUGCGCUAUGACGACAGCUACUUCACCGAGAACGAGGAUGCGGGCAACCAGGCGGCGAACACCAGUGGCGGUGCCGUCUCUGCCACCACAUCCAAGGCUGUAGUCAAGCAGCAAAGCUACAGCGAUUCUUCGUUCGUCGAGGGUGGCGCGGAUCAGAGCACUACAGAGGCUCAAGGUCAGUUUGUGCAUGCCAUGCCGCUGGGCGUGUGGAUCGAGAAACAGGACUACUACUUCCAGCGCAAUCAGAAGCAGGGCGUCAACCUUGUCUUCAACGGAUACAUGUACAAGAAAGAGGCCUGCUUCCGGGCAACGGUCAACUGGGUUUGUUCCGAAGGCAAUGGCAAGCGAGUGACCGAAAACAAGUGCUCGGCGCGGGCCAUCACAAAGUACGAUGGCGGGAUUAAGCUCGGCAAGAAUGCCCACAAUCAUCCGCCUCGGUUUAUUGGUGCAUGCCAACCAGUUAAGCUCCUGACCAAGCAGGAAUUAUACCCGACCUUUUAAAGUUAAAAACAAAACUUAGUAUAAUUAGUUUAGAGAAGAAGAAUGCAAUAUUUUUAAUGUAAUUUUAGCUAAUUAGUGCAUAUUCUUCUUCGACUUCUUCAGAAUCGUCGGAUGAGCAAAAAGGACCUGUGCGAAUUAAACGUAAUGCUCAGGGAGAGUUCCUACUGGUCGAUGGCGUCAAGUUUAAAAAGACUCGCGCCCUGUCCUAUCGCACCUACUAUCACUGUUUAACUGGAAAUUGCCCGGCUUAUUAUGUCCUCGUGGAGCUGGCUCGCCGUCCGCGUUUAACUAAGCACUUCGAGCACGCCCCUCACUGUCUCCGGUGCUAGUAGGAUGCAUGUACAACUCCCUUUUUUUUAUAAAACUAGACCAAAAUUAAAAUGUACAAUAUAUCCAAAAUCAUAAAAGA